CCCCUCCACUCAACGAAACACCCCCUCACACUCAACGAAACACCCCUCACACUACACGACACUCUGAUUGGCUCUCAAGAGACUGCGUCUGAAACGUGAUGACGUUUACGUUGACUGAGUAUGAAGAGAGAACCCGAAAAAGUAACACGAGAAAAUGACGGAGGAAAAGAGCAACACUACGUUCAGUGAAGGAGCAGACCCUGAGCUGAGGAGAUGCGACUCGGACACUGAUCUGCACAAAAAAGGGGAGCUAUGCAAAGCUUGUGGCUCAUCUGCAGGGACACCAAAGGUCAAUGGUGGAGUACGGGGGAUACAGUGUAUACAGAUGCCACCUUGACUGUGUGAAAAGCAGCCACUACCACUGUUGGUUUUGCACAACAAUCAUUGCGACCAAAUAAUAUUUCAUCAAGCAUUUCAUAACCUGCUGCAAGACAGCAUCCACAGCAACUCCACAAUCCACAGUGACCCCAGCACCUAGGGUCACUCUACCAUCCACAGCAACUCCACAAUCCACAGUGACCCCAGCACCUAGGGUCACUCUACCAUCCACAGUGACCCCAGCACCUAGGGUCACU
Long non-coding RNA from Solea solea (common sole), 575 nucleotides. RefSeq lists it as uncharacterized. The record is from RefSeq and is a predicted model, not a curated record. The transcript is spliced from 3 exons. NCBI's taxonomy places the organism in Eukaryota, Metazoa, Chordata, Actinopteri, Pleuronectiformes, Soleidae.